This 198-nucleotide ribosomal RNA is filed under the name uncultured bacterium. RNAcentral's name for it is "partial 16S ribosomal RNA". It matches the Rfam family "Bacterial small subunit ribosomal RNA", at positions 326 to 539 of the family's 1533-position model. The record is from RNAcentral.
ACGCUCGACACCUACGGGAAGCAGCAGUGGGGAAUAUUGCACAAUGGGGGAAACCCUGAUGCAGCGACGCCGCGUGGAGGAAGAAGGUCUUCGGAUUGUAAACUCCUGUUGUUGGGGAAAGAGAGGAUGGUACCCAACAAGGAAGUGACGGCUAACUACGUGCCAGCAGCCGCGGUAAUCUGAGCGGGCUGGCAAGGC